RNAcentral lists this long non-coding RNA (2188 nucleotides) under Olea europaea subsp. europaea. Lineage: Eukaryota; Viridiplantae; Streptophyta; Magnoliopsida; Lamiales; Oleaceae. The record is from RNAcentral.
CUUGACGCGUCUAACAUCAGCCAGAUCUAUCACCUCCUCCCUAAUCUUCUUCAUGGUCGAGAAGAGGGGAUUGAGCUCCACUAGCAUCCUCCUAUCUCGUUCCAAGGUAUCUGGGUACACUUGAUUCUUACAAAACUUCUCAACAUCGGGGACUCUCCAUUCAGGCCAGUAAGCUAGGUCGAUAUCUCGAGCUAUGGCAUAGAAUCAACCCUUUCCAUCCAUUCAAAGAACUAGCCAUCUUAGGCACCCUAAACCCUCCUAUCAUCGAGAGAUACCCAAAACACGUGUACCGAGAAUGCUUUUUCAGAAGACUAACUUACAAAGGUCAACGCAGGGCACCAUACCUAAGUACCUACAAGCUAUAAAGAAAUACAUGAGCAUUCUCUAGGCAUUGGCACUAGCUGCCACGGGCACAUGGAGUGCUUAACCAAAAUUGCGAUGAAGAAAGGGUGUAACGGCCACCUAAAAUCAGCCUUUAAAGUCUCCCUAAAAAUGAUGAACUUCUCGCACUAUUCUAUCCUCAGGGUCUGGCGACCUUAUGUGGCAAUUAGGCAUUAGGCCACACUCCCUAGCUACAGCUAUAGCCAGAUGUUCUUUCAAAGUAGAGACCUCAUCGGGAUACUCGAAGGCAACAUUAUCCUGAACCCUAGGUCUGGCAUCUAGAGGAAUAGCUGUUAGUAUUAUCGAGGUGCCUAAGUCUUCACCAUUACUCGAGCUAUUAGAACGAUCACUCCCCUCACUACUCGACACUAUUUAAUGAAAGUAAGUCCUAGCUUAUGGAAUAACUUAGAAUCUCGAGCCUUACCUGGAGUUACCGACAACUGGAGAAGUUCCAAAGUAUUUUGCUCGAACUCGACCUCGCUGAGCUUGGAUUUACAGUGGGUAAAAGUGAAAAAUGAGGGGGUAAACAAUAAUAUUUAUAGGUAAGAAAAGACAAGAGUCCAAAGGUCGCCAUCUAUGGUUGUUCAGAGAGACAUGUGUCACACAUCCAGGGCUGCUCUCUGCAAUAGUCAUAUCAGUCAAGACCAUAUCGUUAGCCCAUGUUCCUCGAUGACACAAUCUACAACGAUGGAUUAACAACUCAUGUGCACCCCAUCCCGGAGCUCGCGCUCUACGAAGAGUGCACGGGGACUAGUGAUACUACCAAUAUUGGAUAUCUCGAGGAGUGUUUUACUCGACGACUCCCUACAUGCUCAAACUCUAUUUUCUGACACGAAGUCCUCGAGAAAUGUUGGUCCUCGUGAUACUAUGCCCGAAGACUUUGUUCAUACUACCAUGAGACUCGCCUCUUAGUGUCCUUGAAAAAUUCUCCUGGGGUCACAGUUCUUUGAAAUGUCCUCAAAAUGUAUAUAUUCAAACAACAAAUGCUUAAACCCCCAAUGACUUUAUGUCAACUCUAACACCACUAGUCGUACAGUUCUAUUAGAAGUAGGACAUUCCUCUCAAGUGAAACUCUAUUCGAAAGGAACUUCGAAAGGAACACCUAAUUAGUUCAAUCAACCCAUUAUAGGAUUGAACUACUCACCACUAUAAAUAUAGACCAUCAACCCAUUAAUUAGGUACGUUUUUUCCUCAAUCCGCUUUCUAACUUAAGCAUGGAGGGGUGAUGAAAAUACAUCUCGUUGCCUUUGUUUCAGGAGAUCUACAGGGUACAAUUUUUUGUAGCAUCAGAUACCAUGAUGAAUAUCAAACUUCACCAAUUAAACAAAAUGAAACUCAGAAAUCAAAUCCAUCAAAUAAAACCCACAAAUCAAAUCUAUCUCAAUGGUAUGAUUAACAUUCAUCAGAUAAUGAAAAUGAGUCUACAAAAGUUCCACUGCGAGGAGGAAUAAUAGUUCUUACACAGAUCUACGCGAAUUUUCAUCAAAUUGGAGUUAUGGAGAUGGUAGAUGGGGAUUCUAUGAUGAUAUACUCAAGCCGAUUUCAUCUUUGUCAGCGAAGCUUAGAAGUAACUGUUGUUGGUUUGUGUGUGAAAGAGAGGGAAGCACUUUUCUGGUUCUUCUGCAGCUUCUAAUUUAUGGGAUUCCAAGAAAAGGGUUGUUUGCUUUCAAAAAUGAAGAAAUCAUUGGGCAAAACAGAGGUGUAGGUGUGGUUGGCUGUGGGGACGAAGAGGUUUGUGGAAAAUGGACAACACCUCUCUCUCUCUGGUUUAAUUAUUUUAUUAUUAUUGUAAGUAUACCAUUUUGCC